Molecule: ribosomal RNA, 370 nt
Filed under: Amphiuma tridactylum (three-toed salamander)
Lineage: Eukaryota; Metazoa; Chordata; Amphibia; Caudata; Amphiumidae
Description: partial 16S ribosomal RNA
Source: RNAcentral
CAAAGCUCAAUAUAACCAACACUUAUUAUCUCACUAAAUAAUCAAACUUCAAUACUAGUAUCAAGCCAAUCUAUAAAAUAGAUGCGCUAAUGCUAAAAUGAGUAACAAGGAUCCGCCCUCUAAAUGCAAGUGUAAACCAGAACGAAACGCUCUCUGGUAAUUAACGAACCAACCUAAAAGAACUAUAGCACAAUAAAAAACCUAUAAAAUAAAUCGUUAACCCAACACAGGAGCAUGACAGAAAGAUUAAAAGUUUAAAAAGGAACUCGGCAAACUAAGCCCCGCCUGUUUACCAAAAACAUCGCCUCUUGAUCAACUAAUAUAAGAGGUACUGCCUGCCCAGUGACACACGUUUAACGGCCGCAGUACC